GCAAGUCGAGGGGUAACAUCGGUGCUUGCAUCAGAUGACGACCGGCGAACGGGUGCGUAACGCGUAUAGAAUCUGCCUUGUACAGGAGGAUAGCCUUUAGAAAUGAAGAUUAAUACUCCAUAAUAUUUGGAAGUGGCAUCACUAUCUAAUUAAACAUUUAUGGGUACAAGAUGACUAUGCGUCCUAUUAGCUAGAUGGUAAGGUAACGGCUUACCAUGGCAACGAUAGGUAGGGGGUCUGAGAGGAUUAUC
Molecule: ribosomal RNA, 251 nt
Filed under: uncultured bacterium
Lineage: Bacteria
Description: partial 16S ribosomal RNA
Rfam family: Bacterial small subunit ribosomal RNA
Source: RNAcentral